RNAcentral lists this ribosomal RNA (170 nucleotides) under uncultured bacterium. RNAcentral describes it as "partial 16S ribosomal RNA". It matches the Rfam family "Bacterial small subunit ribosomal RNA", at positions 338 to 525 of the family's 1533-position model. The record is from RNAcentral.
CCUACGGGAGGCAGCAGUGAGGAAUAUUGGACAAUGGGCGAAAGCCUGAUCCAGCAAUGCCGCGUGAGUGAUGAAGGCCCUAGGGUUGUAAAGCUCUUUUACCCGGGAUGAUAAUGACAGUACCGGGAGAAUAAGCUCCGGCUAACUCCGUGCCAGCAGCCGCGGUAAUA